UUGAAACUUUACCUCGACCUGGACAACUACUACUGGGGCCAAGCGUAUACUAUUUCUCGGAACCAACCUCAGAACUAGGGAAUCCAACACUGCCUAACAAACUUGAGCUCAUAAGUAGAAGAAUAAAGGGUGUGCAAUACAUACUUAAGGGAAGUAAAGCAAGGCCCAUCGCUCACUUUCUAGAUAGGAGUCCAAAUCUGAUACCUGAAACAUUGGUGGAACCAACAAGAUACAGUGGAUCUAUCUCUCAUUUCAAGAUACAGUGGAUCUAUCUCUCAUUUAAUAACAGUAAUGUCGUGUCGUAAUGUCUUCUUCUGCACCUGCUAUAUCAAUUGUACAUGGAAACAACAUAAUAGUUCUCAGGUAGCGAUCGUAUCUUAUUAGCAGUCCUAAGGAAAGCUGGAUCGAUCGAAUCCCGCCCCAACGGUAGCAGCGGAAUCUACUUUGAUUGGUAAACAUCUUGUCCUGCAGGAGCUCCUUCUCGGCCAGUUCUGGUUGCUUACUUAUAUUACUUAAGUUGUGGCGUGGAGAAUAGAAUGUCCUUAUGAUUCUUCAGCGCAAAGUACUAAAAGUAGUCUUUCUUAAGCUCCAGUUAGUGGGGAUAGUGUUGUCGACGAGUAAGAAUCCGCCGUGAAGUCGUCAGCAGCAAGUGGAUCUUCUGCUUCAGCGAGGAGAUUCAAUGACUGUUUGACAAGGUGAUGCUUGUUCGAAAGAUGGAAAUGCUGUAUUUUCUUAUUUGACUUCAGCGUUAAGUCAUGCCAGAUCCAGGUCCAGGUACAGGGCCAAACUAGUAACUACUCUCCGAGUACAAGAACGGAUCUUAUCGCAAACACUCUCACAUGGCAGGCGAGUAAAGAGAAACUUUCUCUUAAGAUUCUGAAUAUCCUUAUUCUGAUCCGGAUCCAGCUCUUUCCACUUAGUAUGAUCCAGAUCUUCUUGAGUCGACUCUCUUACAUCGUAUCUAAGUGAUUCAUUUCAACAACUCAAUUGUAUCUAAGUGAUUCAUUUCAACAACUCACUACAGCCCUUGUGCGGGGUUCAAAAACCAUACUUUAUACUUUCGUAGAUAGAGAGAAAAAGCAUGAACCGAACUAUAACUAUAAAGAGAGUUGGGCCAGUGUAAAAGUCAAGAUGGAAGCGUCGGAACAGUAUCAAGGAGGAGCGGGAAAUAAAGUGAACUAAGGUCAAAAGGAAGAAAGAGAGCUUUAAGCGAAAAACACGGAAAAAGCUUGAAGAGUCGAAUUGAAAAACUCCACCACAAAUAGAAUCCUGUAACAAAAGAGCAUAGCUUGUUUACCAUAGCUUGCUUACCGGGGCCUUAGCGCUUUAAGAAAAGAGUGGAAUUGAACUGCACUCUGACUUCACUUCGGCUUCAGAUCGUUUUUCUCUUCUAACUACUGAAGAUCAACUUCCAAUUAAGAAAAUCUCCUUUAAAACCUCCCUAUCAGAUGUUCGUAGACAUUUGAGCUUAAUAACUGUGAGCCUUGCCUGUUUCGCUUAAUAACUGUGAGCCUUGCCCUUGCCUGUACGUACCCUCAAGCUUUGGUGCACUCUCUUCACAAUUAGCAAGCUAUAGAGAAGGAGUUAUAGAUCAAGCAACUGAAUAAGUAUUGGCAGAUGCUAGUUCUUUGAAUGAAAGUCAAAGAGUGGGAAACGAGCAAGAAUCAACGUAGUACUUCCGAGCAAGCCAAUUACCUAGCCCUCUCAAGCACCCGACCGACCUGUAAUCUAAUGGUUGAGCUACAGCGGCACGGCACCUCGCUGAAGAAGUUUUCUACUCAUAUUCUGUACAAGGAGCUAAAGCAAGCAGGACAAUCCGUUUACCUACCCUUCUUAUGGGCCAACUGCCCCCUUACUUAGUUUGUAAAGAGCACUGGAUUACUUACCCGCUUCUAUUAUACCUAUUGCUCAAUCCUUAUUAUUCUGGGUUACCCUCUGAAAGUGCAAUUCUAUCUUUUCGGUAAAAUCCAUUCUUAUAUUAUGUAUUGAGAUAAGGGGCACGCCGGUAGUUUACCCCCUUCUAUAAUAGCUGGCUAAUUCUUCUGUUUCAACUUGAAUUCUACCUCCAACAACUCAUUCUGAAACCGACGCCACUGAGUCUGAUCCUGCUCCAACGCUCACUCUGUCCAGUGUUCGCUACCGCGGCAGGAGCCCCGCUACGAUUACUAACACAGCGCUACUGCUUCCAGCUGGCUCUACCUAACCUCGAUAAGGGAAACUGCCUGAAUUGACUCUAACGAGCACAUAAUCUAAGAUGAUAUAUUAACUUCACACCUAUGACUCUGGUGGAUUCACUUUAUAUGACUCUGUGUGUGCUAAAGAGAUGAACUUUAUAUGACUCUGUGUGUGCUAAAGAAAAGAAUAUGGGCAUAGGAGAAUGGAAUGCAAUGAAACGAAACCAAUAUCAUUGAGUAACAAAACUAUAGACUUCUUUGCUUUAAGAAUUGAGUGCACCACCGACUCCAUAAUUAAGUAAAGUAACAAGACUGCUAUCAUAAAGUCACCAAACCAGCUUACUCUAAGACUCGCUAACAGGCGCCCGUCACUCUUAUUCAAUCUCAUGCACACAUUAUAUGAUAUAAGUAAUCUCAAUCUUCGACUCCAAGUCUUGUGUUAGCGCGUUACUUGUUUGAAUGUAAUCUAGCUUAACUAAUAAAGAUGAACGUCACCUCCCUGCGAAACUCCAAUAAAGACUCUCAUCUAACAUUAGCUAUAGGGCCAAGUUUGAACUCAAAGAAUCUAACAUUAGAGCUAUAGGGCCAAGUUUGAACUCAACUUGAAACUAGGAAUAAGGAGCACAAGAACAACCCCUUAUUAAAGGAAUCAGCCUAAGUUGUAUAAGAAUGCCUGCUCGACAUCAGUAAUAAGGAAUUCUCUUUGAAAGUACGGAUACACUGGAUCGUAAUCAACCUCAUUAGUAAUAGUAGGCUUCGGAAUCAAACCACUAGUGAUAAGACUUGAUCGAAACUGUGGAUAGGGAUUCAACACUACCUAAUAGCUUUCACUCUGAACUAAGAAUCACAGAAAUAGGUAAAAUAACUCCACUUCGUACCUUUCACUCUAAACUAGGAAAUCGACUACUGCCCCUAACGACUGAAAUUGACUACUAAUAGACUCAAAUAGGGAAACAGGGAAUCAACACCAGAAAAGCAAUUGAGCUACCCAUAACAAGGCUUCCCUUACUUGCUUUAAACUAAAGAAGUUCCCAUUCCAUGCUUAUCCUAUAAUCCGGAAUUGCACUGGGUAGUAACAACCUACUUGUGCUUGCUUCAACCUUACUAUGAUAUCUCUGAUUCUUACUAAACACCCUCUCGUCCUUCAACUCAUAGGUAUGAUAUAGCACCAUACGAGAUAGAACCAAACUAUGGAUAACAAGAAUAAAUAAAAGAAUAGAGAAUUAAGCCGGUGCUUCUAAGAAUGUCUGAUAUAGGGAGUUAGCUGAGCCCUUAGGAGUGAAAUCAAUCAAGUUUCGGAUAGUAAGCCUUGCUAGCGGUAGUAGAUUUCCCAGUUGCUCGUUAGGUUCGUUAGUUACUGUUGAAUGACCCGUUUUUAGUUGAGUUCCCGGUUUCGAGCUCAAUGCUUCUAUGCACCUAAUAAUAAUCAAAUGAAGUAGUCAAGUUUUUCAAAAAGUAAUACAGCAUGCAAGGAAGCAAGUAAAUAGUAAUAGGUUGAAUCAAGAGGCAAUAGGGAUAUGAGAUCGGGAGCGAGAGCCUUGUUAGUUGUAGCUAUAGUCUGGGAAGUACCAGCUCUAUUCUGUAGUUACCCAACUGGCUGUAGCUUCGAUCCCAGUAGCUACUAGUUAUAGGAUGGGAUAGAGCAAUAGGAGACCUAAAGGCAGGACAGGAGCUAUCUGGCAGUAAGUAAGGAUCCGGAUGUCGGAGUGAAUUCCGAUUAGUACUAGUUGGCUCCUUGCUACUAUAGGAUCAAUUGCUAGUUUAUGGGUUCAGCCUUGCUUUUUGAUAGUGGAGUUCCUUAUUAGAAGAGACAGCAUGAAAAGCACUCGCUACAGAACGAGAGAAAGUUUAGUAAGAGUCAAAGCUAGGGCAGGUAGUUAGUAGUUUCAGAGUGAAAUAGAGGAGUGAGUGUCCGGGGAAGAUAAGAUGCCGGGGGUUCAGCUGUUCCCAGGCAAUACAAAUAAUCGUUUUUCUUUACUUGGUUGGGUUUGGAUUAUUACAGAAUCGAGUUCGAGAUGUUAGGUAGUGAUGCAUUCUUUGACUGCCGGUUUUGAAGUCUUCCAGUACUUAUCCAUAGUUGAGAGUUGGGAAGUCGCAGAGUAACCCUCGCACAUAGCAUUGAGAGCAGUAGCGUCAGAGUGAAAGCCUGGAGAGGUUGUUUGAGACGGUAGAGCUAAGAUCCCACUCCGGAGUUAUAAUCAAAAGUAAGCAGCGCGAGGUUGAAAGCAAGCAAUGGAAGCUAACAAGCAAGAGAAAAGCCCAGCAGAGAGAGAAGAAAAGGCUGUAAAGUCAAGCAAUACUGAUAUGUAGUAAAGUCUACGUCUAUAGGCGUUAUACCUUACCUAUGAAUUGAAGAAAGAGAAACAGGAGUCUCCGUUUGAGAGAAGAUAGAGGCAGACUAGCAAUCGAUCCUACUAGUAGUGGAAGUUGGAAAGUAUAGGAAGUAAGCCGGCGAUCAAGGAGCUUUAGUUUGAUAGCGAGGAAGGGAAGGUUAAUUGGCAGUGAAGCAAGGCUAAAAGCAAAGAGGGUUGGUUAAUAGUUGGAGAAUGAAAAGUCACCUGUGUUAGGUUUAACACCAGUAGUAUAAGGCUAGCAAUCGCUCAUGGUAUUUUGAGUCAAUCGAGUAAGUCCCCGUAUCUGUAGUGCUAGGGCAUGUGGGAAGAACGAAGCUAUUGAGUAAGGCUCCAAGGCAUCAGUGGGAAGAGUGUGAAUUGGUGGUUUAAGACCGGAAGCAAGGGGAUAGGUCGUAAGCCUAGUAUAAAAGGUCGCUCCAGAGCGAAGCUAACGAUUGGUAUACUGGCAACUAGUAAAGGCUCAGAGGCUGUAAUGGUAGUUUGACAAAAGGCAUAGGCAUUGAAGCCACGAGUAAAGAAUAUAGGUAAAAAGUACAAGUUUGUGUUAGCAGAGCCUACUCCCUACCGCAUCUGAACACAUCUGAAGUAAGAACUAUACCAUAAAUCAUUUCUUUGUUGUUUUGUGGCAGUCAAGUAGCUUCACACCUAUUGCCCUAGAGCUAACUCUGUCUUUCCCGACUCAAACUCUUUAACCACUGAUACAGAUCCUUACUCCCGGGAUUGACUCUCAUACUAAUACAAAUAAACCAAACCGUAGAAUAAUGUUAAUUAGGUUCGACUAUUACCUGACAAGAAAGAAACUCGGAACUAAGAAACCAACUAUACGACCUCUGAACAAGAAAAAGGGAAUGAAACCCAGAACCCCUGCUGAUGAGAAUGAAAAAAGCAAUAAAGAGUUGCACUGCUGCAAUGAUAAGAAGACUUUGACUCACGCCUAUAAACCACAAAUUCUUACUACUUGGUCUCGGGCUUACUUUCCUCUAUCUAAGUAUAUCACUGCUUGCUUUGACUCCCCCGCUCCUUCCCCUGAGCCUGACUCUUAUGCCUCCCAAACUUAUACUGAUGCUAGCAAUACCUACUAACAAGGACUUUCUUUCUUUGGCUACUGCACCUAUGAGCUGCCCUACCUUGAGUUAAGUCUCCGAACUCUUAUUUGAAUUCUUUUGAUGAGUUUAGGUCUGCUACUUUGGAUCUCCAAUCUAUUGCCUGCUGCGCGCCUACCUUUUUGAGUAUUCCUUUUGCUAGUAUCGCUAUUCCACUCUGAACUCUAAAACUACCGACUUGCCCACACAUUACAAGCCUUACUGACUCCCCAGCAAAUGCAAAGCCUUACUUCUAUCCUUGUUUCGAACUAGUACACUAUCUAAUAGAUCAAACUAAUCACUUUGGAGAAAACUAGAAACUGGCAAUCCAGCUGCUGCUGCUGACGAGACUUUGACUGACCCUAUAAGAGUGAAACUGCUACCGAUUAGACUAACAACGACUUAGAAUAACAAGGCUUUCACUGGCUCUUAGCACCUUUACUGCUACCAUUUGAUACUAAAAUAAUGGAAUUACUGCUAACAGGGUUUCAUCAAUGCCUUUCAUUACGUAACUACUGCCUACGAUCCUAUACUCCUCGAUAUCAGCCUACCAUUCAUUGCGGAAAUGUCUAUGUCCUAUUAUUAGUAUGCCUUUACUGCCUUACAUUCCUUUCUCUUAGCCUUGCUUCUAAGCGUUAGUCUGCCCCUCCCUUAUCUUAGUAUGCCUUUACUGUCUACCAUUCUGACUAUCCUAUCGAUCUUGCUUCCCCUCUUUCAUUCUUGAGUCAACUCUCACUCCGUCUUUCCUUACUAUAGGUCUGACUAUCCUUUCUCUCAAACUGAUACCAUGGCAUCUCAAUCUGAUUCCUCUAAUAGAGUGCACUAGUUUCUUCUUGUAGUCAGUAGCUGUGGAUUGGAUUCUGACUUACGUGUGUAAGCGCCUAAUACUUAGUGUUUGGAUUCCCUUUUGGUGAGUUAAAGCAUUUGGGGAGCAGUUACAGCCUUAUUAGUGGUAGUUACAACCUGUAUUCUUAUUCUUAUUAGCAAUAGUGAAAGUCUAUCCCGAUAGAGUGGUAGUCUUACUUACCCCACAGAGUAUUCUUGAUUCUGAUAUUGAUUCUAAUGGUAGAAGCUCCAUUACAUCGAUCCUAGUUGUGAGUUGUUGUCUUGUUAGGUGCCUAAGGGCAUAUGAGUAACCAGUUUAGUUCGUUAGUGGGAUGUUUGAUUCGUAGUUCCAGUAUAGUAGGGCCCAGGCCCACGUAUCUGACUUAUGAGUUUCACCCUAUAAGCUAAGCACUCGUUUCAUUCCUUAUUAAAGGCUUUAUUCUGAUUGACAUGAUUCUAAUCCGAAAUCUGUAUGCACUAGAUCAUACCUCUACUACUUACAUCGUACCUCUUCCACUACUUAGAGCUCAAUUCUUGCUUCCCUACUUGCCCCGGUCUAUGAAUGAUAGUUGAAAUAAGGCCAUGUAAGUAAGAGUCAAAACAAAACAAAAGAGUAGGAUUUAGGGCUAAGUAUGCUAUGCUCAUAUUAUUGUAAGAAUGGAGCUAGGGCAUGCCAACACGAAACUCGAAACAUGGGAUCCAACGCUGAUAUAACGACAUUGAACUAAGAAUAAGAUAGCUUCCGUAGGUGCUGAAAGCCUAGUGGAUAACAAGAACCGAACCUGGGCAUAUGAUACUGGCAUCGGGGCUAACAAUACCGUAACUAAACCCUGGGGAUUCAGCAGUGCCCAACAAGACUCUUACUUAGCAUGUAACUCAUAGGUAAAAAGAAUAAAGAGCGGAACUCGUAUCAGCCCCUUAUGACUAGGGCCAAGCAAGAUAGAAUACGCAUAAGACAGUGAGACUAGAGCUUUACCUGCCCGAUAUCCAUGAAUCCUCUCUGGAAAGAAAGAAGAACGGCCUAUUCCGCGAGAUCCAAUCAUAUCUCUCUUUCUCUAUCGAAAGAAAGCCUAGUUACUUGAGUUGAAACAAUAGAAUUAGCCGAGGCUAUCCCAGUUCCAGUUUGGCUAAACGAGGAAAGUGUGUUUUUGGCAUAAAUCUGUCUUCUUCUUUAAACCAACCCGGAAACUAUUCCUUAUAGAUUGAGUUUUCCUACUAGACUCUUGACUCUAAAGUUCUCCUAUUAGAUGAGUUAAGUAUUUGAAGUGAAGCAGGCUUAAAAGGUGGAAGGGCUAGGCUUGCUACUGGGGUUGCCAAUAUGAAAGAGCUCCGCCUUUAUGACCUAUCUAAGUAAAUGAGCUUGCGAGGGAUCGAGCCCUUCUAUGGAUAAUUAUGUAUUAAGUAAAGUAAUAGAUGCGCCUUUCUACUAUAACCUCCAAGACCCUUAAAUUGCAGGGCCCCUAACGGAUUCAAUGUUACCUGGGAUCAAAUCCUUCCUAAAUGAAUUUCCUCUGGAGCUGGGUUCUUUCCCUCCGAAAUCUCUUUUUAUUGGCAACUGGAUUAGGCGUUUCCAUCUCUCAAACUAGAAGAAAGCGCUUUUUCACUUAUAAAGAAGGGAGCAGGUUAACUUGUAAACGGCAAGUCUAGGCUUGCUUCGCUCCAUUUCCCGUAAGCUCGUGAGGCGCCCAGUUAUUACGAUAGGACUCGUUGGUGACUGCUUUCUCUCUUUUAUCAGUGACUUGACAACAGACACCUAAUAACCUAUAGUUACUAACACUGUAUGAGCUUCCCUAUACUUCAAAAAGAGAAAAGGAUUAGCAUCUGAACUAAGCUGGUGAUUCAAGCGCAUCCCAUGCCUCCACUAGUAAACCUCCAUCCUCUAUCGCUGCUUCCUAUCUAAGUUAAGGCUUUAAUUGAACCAUUUUUCUCUCUAUGGGUUAGGCGGGCACAUCCUCUAGGAGGCAAAACCACAUAAGUAUUGCAUCUGUACGGAACAUGGCUCUGCACAAAGCUGGCCUCAAGACUGCACACCGCCCAUUUUGGAAGAGAAAGGUAACCACCCAGAGUUGUUUCCGGAUUCGCUCUGCCUGACUUCGAUCUAUCAGACCUCGUUCUCGUUGUAAAGUGUUUCAAAAAGAGCAAUUGGUUCCUAGUGCAAACGGACGGAUUGGGGCAAGAUUUGUAGGCUAGGCUCGGACAAGGUUAGGAAGGGCGAGAAGGAAGAGAGCUACUGUCGUCUGUUCUGUUCUCGUGCCUAAGCCAAUUAGGAAUUUGGACCUUUCUUUAGGUGGGGUAGUAUAAAGCAUACCAUCUAAAGAGGCUGGAAAGGAAGAAAUAGGUAGUAUAAAGCAUACCAUCUAAAGAGGCUGGAAAGGAAGAAAGAAAGAGCAAAGAUAAUCCUAUAUUGAAAGAAUUGGUUCCACCCGAUGGUACCUCAUUUCCUUUCGAGUUAACUGCAUGGGAUCUUUUCAUACGAGCUUCUGUUUUUUCUGUAAGAAGAAAAGAAGACCGAUUACGAAAGCACUAGCUGCGGCAACUGCUGGAUACUCAUACUUAAGCUCCGGAUACGAUCACACCAACAAGGACUAGCACUAGAUAUGUGAACAGCGUAUGAUGAUUCACUAUCAAACACAGAGGGCAUGAGAUUUCGAAAAGAGUGGAUUCGACGGGAUAUUCAAUCUAUACCUGGCGCAUUGACUCAUUCCAUCUAAACGGGAUAUUCAAUCUAUACCUGGCGCAUUGACUCAUUCCAUCUAAUAAGACGAAAGAAAGACACCUGCACACGAUCGAAAGCAAUGAAGGCUAAGAGCAGAUUCUAAAAGACCGCGUAGUUAAUAGAAAUAUAGAACUGGGACAAUACACUACUAAUGUGUAGCGGCAGGGCCAAGCAACGUAGUUAGUUGCGCGGCAGUCGGCCAAGCAACGAUUACUGUUGCGCGGCAGCCAAUAAGAAGUAGUGAAUAGUUAUAACCAAGUCCUUAGUCUUAGAACGCUAGUGAGUUAUGAGAAAGACCCCUCUCCACUUUGAAAGACCUUUGUUAGGUCGAAGAGCUAUUUAUAUUAUGGUGUAAAUAAAGAAACCCAUGAUUAAUAGAAUGACAAACUUUAGUAAUUCCUUGAAUUGGAGAAAUGAAAAUGUUAGAAGAUUGAUCUUGAUUACUCUUAGUAUGGCAGAUAUUCCUGUAUAAAUGAAAACUUGAAACACUGGUAUAAGUAUAAGAAAAGGCCCUAUACGUAAUUGCUAGCGCAUCUAUAGGUAUGAUAGAAUCUGGAACUAGCCGGCGUGCUCUUUCCUUCCCUAGUGUUCUUUCCUUUAAGUAAGAAUUCCACCCUAUGGCUCUGUGCUUUUGUAGUAGUUGGCUGCCGCGCAACAGUAGGAGUGAGUUCAAGUUAUAACCAAGUCCUGUGUGCCGUUUACAGCCUUGCCUUAACUUACCUUCAAGCUGUGUAGGAUGCGCUCAAUUCUCUUUUUGAGACUCCAUUCUCCUCUUUAGACUCAAUUCGAUUCUUUUGGUUGUAUUCUUAAGCUUCUACUGCAGCAGAUCAAGAUCUAUAUGAUUCUCUCGACGCAGCUUAUUCUCUUGCAACAACAGUUGGACCAGGAAAACAAGUAAUGGAACUUUAUAGCGCAGAAGACGAAAACAAGACUUCCGACUCUUGAAAGGCUGGAAACCAAACUAGUAACUACUAGACGCCAAGAUACAUAGUAAGUAGACAAAGGCUUGAAUCGGGCCAAGCUACGUAUACAAAGGCAAAGAGAGAAAGAAAGAAACAUAAUAAUGUAUUAGUAGCAGCUGUUACCAAGUCUCUCCUCCGAGUCCUGUGCCACUUAUAUAUCUGCUCCCGGGGUUUGGUGAAAACGGAUUGUAUGCAGCUGCUUCCCCCAUUUCAUCUUUGAUAACGGAAUGCGGAUCAUCUACUUCAUAAGCUAGAUCAGGUACAGGUAAAGGGGUUUAAGCGGCAGCUGUUCUCUUCUCUUCUUGCCUACCCGAACUCUACUCUCACUGAGUCUGAUCCAUAUCUUUCAACUUUACCUUGUAGUGGGCAUUUGCCAAGAACAGAAUAAUACUUUUAGCUUGCAGUUGACUUCCGCACUCGACUUGAAGAACCGAUUGCACCUGCUAUUGUUCUUGCUCCGGAAACUCGUUACGUGGCAGAUCCAUAUCACUUAUUUCCUUUUCUCUCUCUUGCUUAGCGCCCUGGCCUUUGAACUAGUUUAUGCCCCCACCCCUACCUCUCCUGGAAGUUAAGAAUUCAUUGAUUCUUUGUUUCCGGCUUCAGGGCGUUGUGGUCCAGGAAAGGUUUCGUUCUUGGAAUCAGAAUAAGAUUGAUAAGAUAAGUAUUAGGAUAAGAAUAAGAUGCUAUCCAACUGACAUCGUUCUUGUUCCCCGACUGGGUAUGAGAGAUGUGGGUAACAAACCGAGUCCUCUGAAACAAUAAAUACAGAAUUCCAACUUCAAACAAACAUAAGAAAAAGAAGAAUUAGCUACUAGUAGAGGUAUGAUAGAUACCGGUAACCCACAAUGUGCUCUAAGGUGACUCGGCUCGCUAACGCUUCAGACAGGUGCUGAAAGCCUAGAAACUACACUAGAAACUCCCCCAUACAUAGUUGUUAGUGCUGCAGAAGUAUCGUCUCCUUAGGUAUUUCUCGUAGAUAGAAUCCAGAUUGAAGUGAAGCUGACCCCUGACUUGCAGCAAUGAACUAUCUUACGCCUAACUAGAAGAUGGAAAUUGGACUCUCGAGCAGGCGUUUGCGUUACCUAACUUUCUCCUGUAUAACAUUGCCUCUCAUCGACCUUUUGAGUUGAGUUCGUUUCGGGGUUAACACUUAUUGGAGUGGUGCUUGAG
This 11283-nucleotide long non-coding RNA is filed under the name Musa acuminata (dwarf banana). RNAcentral describes it as "long non-coding RNA (MACU_LNC009720)". The record is from RNAcentral. Lineage: Eukaryota; Viridiplantae; Streptophyta; Magnoliopsida; Zingiberales; Musaceae.